CCUCUCCAUCAUCCAAUGCAUUCUUAGUGGGUAGAUCCAUGACAACCGGAAGGAAAAUAAACUUUAGGCUUUUGAAAAAAAGAAUAGUUCUCAACUGAACAAAAGAUUAAAGAACAAGGAUAGGAAUUUCUUUGCUCAUUGGACCUACCCACCUACCCAAAUCUGGUUCGAGAGUUCUACGACAGCCUUGUGGUUCGAAUGGAGUGAA
Molecule: long non-coding RNA, 208 nt
Filed under: Elaeis guineensis (African oil palm)
Lineage: Eukaryota; Viridiplantae; Streptophyta; Magnoliopsida; Arecales; Arecaceae
Description: long non-coding RNA (EGUI_LNC046523)
Source: RNAcentral